This is a non-coding RNA of Cricetulus griseus (Chinese hamster), 1914 nucleotides long. NCBI's taxonomy places the organism in Eukaryota, Metazoa, Chordata, Mammalia, Rodentia, Cricetidae. The record is from RefSeq and is a predicted model, not a curated record.
CCAUCUGUAAUGAGAUCAGGUGCUCUCAUCUGGCACGCAGGGAUACAUGCAGACAGAACUCUGUCUAUAUAAUUAAUAAAUAAAUCUUUAAAAUAAAUAAAUAAAAAGAAUGCUGAGUCUCUGAAUACCAAUGUGAAGACAGCUGAGGAAAUUUUGGAAACUCUGGGCAAGUUGACUUCAGGGAAAACUCACUUACUAGAGCAAAUGUUCAACAUAGAUAAAAUUCCCCUGUUCUGGUGAUGAUGCCUGAGGGGACUUUCCCAUUUAGGAGGGCAAGUCAAUGCUGGAUUUAAGGCUUACACACAGAUCACUGUCUGGCUUGAGGGUAACUGAUGCAGGCUACAAGCUGAAACCCUUUGUGAUCUGGCAUAGUGAGAGCCCCCAAGGCUUUCAAGUGCGCAAAUGUGCCUGCACCACCAGUGUGCAACAGAAACAGAAGUCCUGGCAAUGACCUGGUAGCAUGUAAAUCAGUUCUUCUCCCACGAUGCUGUCUUGAGUUGCCACAGCAGCAAAGCAAAGAAACACUUCUUGGAGAAAGGUCUUUCAAGGAUUUCUUUACUGUUACUGAUGUUCCCACGCAUCAGCCCUUUUGUUGGUAUUGCACUAAGCACCACUCUGCUUUGCCCCAGCCAUUGCUGUAACAGAAAAGACACAGACACAGCUCUUUGGGAAUUAAAACAUCCAUGACUGCAUCAAGAAUCUUGUUUGGAUUUGAGGUGAUAACAUAAAGGAGUUUAAGGGUGGCAUCUGAAAGAAGACAAGAGGUUUGCCCGUGGUUUUAAAGGGUUUACCAAGGAUGAGGAGCUUGCAAAACUCAACAAGCUGCAGCUGAGCAGGCAACAAACUUGACCCGAGGAUGACACUUAGGAGCUCCUGAGGAAGUGACUAAUGAAGAUUUGUUACCGCAAGAAGAGGGACACAGAGCUGGAGACGAGAGAGGAAAAGGGAAACUGGAGAAGUCCAAGAAAGAGAAGAAGGCCAAGAAGGGCCACAGAAUCUAGCAGAAAUUUCUAUAGCCCUCAAUAAUCUUCAAAAGUUUGAACACGUGACUCCCAGAGCAAACAUUUCCACGGAUUGAGGAAUAUUCGAGCAAUGGCUUGGGUGGAGCACAGAGUGAUGCUCGGAGGGAAGGUGUCACUUUGAUACUCUGAUGCGAGUACAAAAGGGCUGAUGUGUGGGAACACCAGUGCAGGACAGGAACCCUUGAAAGAUGUUUCUCCAAGCAAUGCUUCUCGGCUUUGCUGGCAUGGCAGUUCAAGAGUGCUUUGUGGGAGAAGAGCUGAGUCACCAUGACACACUGUUCCUGCUGCACACUGAAAGGAGGAUGCCCCUCAAUAGGUUGCAAGGCCUUCGUGAGAGGUUCCAGCAGAAGACAUUGUCACAGGAGAUGGCAGCUCCGGGAAGAAAAAUGUUAGACACAUUCAAGAGGGAUUAUCUGAGCAGGGGACAGACUGACAAAGCAGAUGGUACUUGUGGUGAAGGAGGUCCAGAGAACUCUAUCACACAGUCAGAAGAUGCUGCUGAAGGACAGAGAUAGCGUGCAGUUUGGUAUGUGUCUUAAAUGAACAUAUUUCCUUAGUUUGUAGUCUGUGGCUUGCAGAAAACUCAUGAUUAGCCAGGUUUCAGCCACUAGUUUUAAGACUAUAUUAUCUUACUAGGUCAAUUUAGGGUAAGGCAAGCUUAAUUUAACUCAGCGCUUCUCAACCUUCCUAAUGCUUCGACCCUUUAAUACACUCCCUCGUGUUGUGGUGACCUCCCAACUUUUGUUAUGAAUCAUAAUGCAAAAAGUCUGUGUUUCCUGAUGGUCUCACGUGACCCCUGGGAAGGGUCCAAUGGGCCAAGACAUACAAGUUGAGAACCAUUCAUUGAUUUAACUUAAAGUAUUUGAGUUUCUUGGGAGGGAGCAGAUUUAGA